CCUACGGGUGGCAGCAGUGAGGAAUAUUGGUCAAUGGGCGCGAGCCUGAACCAGCCAAGUCGCGUGAGGGAAGACGGUCCUAUGGAUUGUAAACCUCUUUUUUCGGGGAGCAAAAGACGCCACGCGUGGCGUUCCGAGAGUACCCGAAGAAAAAGCAUCGGCUAACUCCGUGCCAGCAGCCGCGGUAAUACGGAGGAUGCGAGCGUUAUCCGGAUUUAUUGGGCGUAAAGGGCUCGUAGGCGGUUCGUCGCGGCCGGUGUGAAAGUCCAUCGCUUAACGGUGGAUCCGCGCCGGUUACGGGCGGGCUUGAGUGCGGUAGGGGAGACUGGAAUUCCCGGUGUAACGGGGGAAUGUGUAGAUAUCGGGAAGAACACCAAUGGCGAAGGCAGGUCUCUGGGCCGUUACUGACGCUGAGGAGCGAAAGCGUGGGGAGCGAACAGGAUUAGAUACCCGGGUAGUC
This 460-nucleotide ribosomal RNA is filed under the name uncultured bacterium. Its description in RNAcentral is "partial 16S ribosomal RNA". It matches the Rfam family "Bacterial small subunit ribosomal RNA", at positions 338 to 795 of the family's 1533-position model. The record is from RNAcentral.